Molecule: unclassified non-coding RNA, 1552 nt
Filed under: uncultured fungus
Lineage: Eukaryota; Fungi
Description: sequence contains 18S rRNA gene, ITS1, 5.8S rRNA gene, ITS2, 28S rRNA gene
Rfam family: Eukaryotic large subunit ribosomal RNA (bases 512-1552)
Source: RNAcentral
GGAAGGAUCAUUAACAAAUCAGUUGCACCUUGUGCAAUAUGCGCUCCGGAGCAAUCCGGAUGCACAAUAUAAGCUUUAUUGUAAUUAUUUUGUAUGUUGGAAAAAAAUGUAAAAACCACUUUUAACAACGGAUCUCUAGGCUCUUGCAUCGAUGAAGAACGCAGUAAAGUGCGAAAAGUAAUGCGAAUUGCAUGCUCUGCGAGUCAUCUAAUCUUUGAACGCAAAUGGCACUGUCACGUCAAGUGAUAGUAUGCCUGUUUGAGAACCAUAUAACCCAUCACCAUUAGUUAAUGGUGGACAUGUCCAUUUCGCAUGAAUAGGAUUAAAAGAAUAUACUUGAUGUGAAGCAUCACGAUGUGAUAAUAUCUUCAUUGUGAUGUUUUGCAAUUAGUCGAGUACACAACUAGUCUUGGUGUGGUUGAGCAUGGUAGUGCGUAUAGCUAUACUAGCUAUAACUAGCUAUACUAGCUAUACUAACUACUAUACUCAAUCUACCUAGUCAUUAUUAUAAUGGUCUCAAAUCAGGCAAGGCUACCCGCUGAACUUAAGCAUAUCAGUAAGCGGAGGAAAAGAAACUAACAAGGAUUCCCGUAGUAACGGCGAGUGAAGUGGGAAUAGCUCAAAUUUAAAAUCUGGCCUUUGUGCCCGAAUUGUAUUCUAAAGAGGUGCUAUCGCAAGCAACAUUGUGCACAAGUGUCCUGGAAUGGACCAUCACAGAGGGUGAGAAUCCCGUUUGGGCACAGUGAAGCGAGCAUAUGAGGCACUCUCAAAGAGUCGAGUUGUUUGGGAAUGCAGCUCAAAAUGGGUGGUAAACUUCAUCCAAGGCUAAAUAUUGGCAAGAGACCGAUAGCGAACAAGUACCGUGAGGGAAAGAUGAAAAGCACCUUGAAAAGGGAGUUAAAUAGCGCGUGAAAUUGUUAAAAGGGAAACGAUUGAAGCUAGCAUUGUUGUAUGGUGCGAGUGCGUGAGUGUGGUGUAGAGCGCAAGCCUACUAAGCAUGUAAGCAGGAGCAGCGUGCAGCGAGUCAGGGCCGCUUUGGACUGCCUUAGAAGACCUGGGGAAGGUAACUACAUAUAAUGUGCAGUCUUAUAGCCCCAGGGGAUGUGGUGGUCUGGAGGUGGUACUAAUGGAAGGAUUGUCGGACUGUAGCGGAUGGCCUGUGUAGACUACUUGUAGACUAUGUUUGGUGUCUGAUGCACAAAGAUAUACAACCAUGGGACCCUGUCGGAAUGGCUUUAAACGACCCGUCUUGAAACACGGACCAAGGAGUCUAACAUGUAUGCGAGUGUUUGAGUGGCAAACUCGAACGCGCAAUGAAAGUGUAAUGUGGGAACACGAAUAGUGGGCACCAUGGACCGAUCUUGAUAUCUCUUGAUGGAUUCGAGUCAGAGCAUAAAUGUUGGGACCCGAAAGAUGGUGAACUAUGCCUGGAUAGGAUGAAGCCAGAGGAAACUCUGGUGGAGGUCCGCAGCCGUUCUGACGUGCAAAUCGAUGGUCAAAUCUGGGCAUAGGGGCGAAAGACUAAUCGAACCAUCUAGUAGCUGGUUCCCUC